Molecule: long non-coding RNA, 924 nt
Organism: Struthio camelus australis
Lineage: Eukaryota; Metazoa; Chordata; Aves; Struthioniformes; Struthionidae
Source: RefSeq, a predicted model, not a curated record
CAGUGUCCUUACAACUCUCUACUCCCUACCUAAUCUUGAUUCAGUCCACAGUGGCAAUCCCAGCUGGAAGCCUAAGAAAAGAUCAGUAAAGCUGUAUUCUCCUUAGAAUCAGUUUGAACUGGAUUCUCACUUCUCUUCUCUCUGCAUGAGCACUAAGCCCCAAUUUUCUCUGUCUGUCAAUAUAUGUCCAUUGUACAGUCUUCCUCAUGCUCCUUCCUUUGAUUUCUUUUCAUCCUCUCUUCUCCUACAGGUCUCUCUUACCAUUCUUGCUUUAUCUUUAAAUGACUGAAGAAACAUAGAGUCUUUUUCAAACAGCACAGUGUUUUACAUCAGCUGUAACAUAACGUACCUCUUUACAACUGAUCUGCCUCCCUCAUAAGGGCUGUAACAGUACGGACAACAACUUAAAGAAUCAUUGAACACUGUCCUCAGAGGACAACUGCAUCCUGCUCCACCAUCCCAGUUACAUAGAAAUUGUUCAGGAAAUCAGCACCAGUCGUCUUUGUGACUGGACUACCAAAAAAUAGGGACUGACCAGUUUCCCAUCCAGUCACUCAUCUUGGGACAUGCCAUGUGCUCUAUAAAGAGAGUAAAGAGUGGAAAGUUAUGGGGAAGUCCAAACCAGCAGGUUUCAACGGCAAGAGUGAAAUUUGCAUCAGCAAGAGUUCCUCUGUCCACAGGCUUCAGCUUAUAAUGUUUCUUGAUUGAAUCAUUUGCUGGACUUCAUGUGACUUCAUAGAUAAAACUAGUCUUGCUGAGAGGAGAUGGUUGCAAAUAUGAGAUUCUGCCUAUGAAACCAAGAGGGAGGCUCCCAAAUCAUAAAGAGCAAAGUACCUGAACUGGAGCCCCUGCUCAAAGCUGGCUACUAGUGAAAGGAAAGUGAGCUCUGCAAAAAGAACACGGCCUGAUUAGAGAGUGAGCAAG